Carcharodon carcharias (great white shark) is the source of this 410-nucleotide long non-coding RNA. RefSeq lists it as uncharacterized. The record is from RefSeq and is a predicted model, not a curated record. The transcript is spliced from 3 exons. NCBI's taxonomy places the organism in Eukaryota, Metazoa, Chordata, Chondrichthyes, Lamniformes, Lamnidae.
GUUUCGCAUUUUUCUCUCUCUCUGUAAUCUGAAACUCUGGACAUUUCCCGGAAGAAUCCAGUGGAGAGCCGCCAGAAAAGGGAGAAAUCGAGAGAGGGAAGCAACCAAACUCCGGAUUGGAGCCACACAGUGGGAAAGCAAACACUGGGUAGCUACUGCAGGAAUAGAUCGGAUAAACCCCCCAUCAAAUGUGUGCCCGGAAAGCAACUAGAUUGAAAAAGUUUUCUUUACAAAAUAGAACAAAACCAAAUUCAAACUGAAGCCAUGGACGACAGCACAGAGGAGGAGAGCUGCACUGUGAAACAUGAACUGAAAAAUGCAAACCUAACGGGACACACAGAGAAAGUGGGAAUCGGGAACUUCGAGCUUCUAAAGGUCCUGGGAACAGGAGGUGAGGUCCAAACAGGUUA